RNAcentral lists this ribosomal RNA (468 nucleotides) under uncultured bacterium. RNAcentral describes it as "partial 16S ribosomal RNA". It matches the Rfam family "Bacterial small subunit ribosomal RNA", at positions 28 to 507 of the family's 1533-position model. The record is from RNAcentral.
GACGAACGCUGGCGGCGUGCUUAACACAUGCAAGUCGAACGGAAAGGCCCUGCUUUUGUGCCCUUCUCGGUUGCCGAAGGCGUGAGUAACACGUGUGUAUCCUCCCCUUUACUUUCGGAUAACUUCACGUAACUGGGGCUACUACCGUAUAGCAUCUCCUGCACCACGGUGGGCGUUGGAUAGUUUAGGCUGUUGGGGAUGGAGUCGCGGCUUACCAGCUUGAUGGUGGGGUAGUUGCUGACCAAGGCUUUGACGGGUAGCCGGCCUGAGAGGGUGACCGGGCACAAUGGUACUGAGAGAGGGAGCAGUAUCAUAUGGGAGGCAACAGGGGGGAAUAUUGCACAAUGGGAGGGCGUGUGAGGCAACAGCGCCGCGUGCGGGAUGACGGGCUUCGGGUUGAAAACCGCUUUCGCCUGUGACGACGCGUGAGUGACGGUAAUGAGUAAAGAAGCACCGGCUAACUACGUG